This 203-nucleotide unclassified non-coding RNA is filed under the name rhizosphere metagenome. Its description in RNAcentral is "partial ribosomal RNA internal transcribed spacer region". The record is from RNAcentral.
GUAGGUGAACCUGCGGAAGGAUCAUUAUUGUAGGUGCCCUCGGGCCCGUCAACACAAUAACCCUUGUCUUUUUUUGUGCACCCUUUGUUUCCUCGGCAGCUUUGCCUGCCAACGAGGACCCCCCAAAAACCUUUUGCAAUCUUAGUACAACAAUCUGAAAACAAACAAUAUUAAAACUUUCAACAAUGGAUCUCUUGGCUCUG